Molecule: ribosomal RNA, 488 nt
Filed under: uncultured bacterium
Lineage: Bacteria
Description: bacterial SSU rRNA
Rfam family: Bacterial small subunit ribosomal RNA
Source: RNAcentral
CCAGACUCCUACGGGAGGCAGCAGUGAGGAAUAUUGGUCAAUGGGCGAGAGCCUGAACCAGCCAAGUAGCGUGCGGGAUGAAGGCCCUUGUGGUCGUAAACCGCUUUUAUCAGUGAAUAAAGUGCAUCACGUGUGGUGUCAUUGCAGGUAGCUGAAGAAAAAGGACCGGCUAAUUCCGUGCCAGCAGCCGCGGUAAUACGGAAGGUCCGGGCGUUAUCCGGAAUUAUUGGGUUUAAAGGGAGCGCAGGCGGGAGUAUAAGUCAGCUGUUAAAUAUCAGGGCCCAACUCUGUUAUGCAGUUGAAACUAUAUUUCUUGAGUACGCACAGGGAUGGCGGAAUUCAGGGUGUAGCGGUGAAAUGCUUAGAUAUCCUGAAGAACUCCGAUCGCGAAGGCAGCCAUCCGGAGCGUAACUGGCGCUGAGGCUCGAAGGUGCGGGUAUCGAACAGGAUUAGAUACCCUGGUAGUCCGCACGGUAAACGAUGAAUAC